AUGUCUCAUAUCUCCUCAAGGGGAGCAGGCAGGCAAUACUCUUGCAUCUUCUUCCAGCAGGCGGCGGUGAGCUUGGGAGUCUCCUCAAGGGGAGCAGGCAUACUCCUCUUGCAUCUUCUUCUAGCUGGAGGUGAGCUUGGAGAUCUCCUCGAGCUGGUACCUCGCUUCAGCGGCAUAGUCGACCGGCGACUCACUCCUCACGGUGAUCCUCUGCCUCUUCACUCCCAUGUACUCGUUCUGCACGACACUGACGCGGAACAGGUGGGGAAUCCAGGUGGCUUCCUUCAGCUUGAGCUGGAACAUGUCAUCGCCCUCCUGCAAACAGAAUUUGACAGUCUUAGGCACAGAUCACAGAGCAAGCAACAUGUCUACAUUCUGAAUGGUGAGGCGUGA
This 393-nucleotide ribosomal RNA is filed under the name Triticum aestivum (bread wheat). RNAcentral's name for it is "partial small subunit ribosomal RNA". The record is from RNAcentral. Lineage: Eukaryota; Viridiplantae; Streptophyta; Magnoliopsida; Poales; Poaceae.